Molecule: microRNA precursor, 205 nt
Organism: Oryza sativa Indica Group (long-grained rice)
Lineage: Eukaryota; Viridiplantae; Streptophyta; Magnoliopsida; Poales; Poaceae
Rfam family: MIR812 microRNA precursor family
Source: Rfam
AAAAAAACAAACACUGGGUUUCCGUAUCCAACGUUUGACUGACUAUCUUAUAUAAAUUUUUUUAUAAUUAGUAUUUUCAUUGUUGUUAGAUGAUGAAAUAUGAUUAAUACUUUAUGCAUGACUUGUCUUUUUAAUUUUUUUCAUAAUUUUUUCAAAUAAGACGGACGGUCAACGUUGGACAUGGAAACUCAGGGUUUGUCUUUUU